UACGGAGGGUGCAAGCGUUAUCCGGAUUCACUGGGUUUAAAGGGUGCGUAGGUGGGUCUGUAAGUCAGUGGUGAAAUCUCCGGGCUUAACCUGGAGACUGCCAUUGAUACUAUAGGUCCUGAAUUUUCUGGAGGUUAGCGGAAUAUGUCAUGUAGCGGUGAAAUGCUUAGAUAUGACAUAGAACACCAAUUGCGAAGGCAGCUAACUACGGGAGGAUUGACACUGAGGCACGAAAGCGUGGGGAUCAAACGGG
This 253-nucleotide ribosomal RNA is filed under the name uncultured bacterium. RNAcentral's name for it is "partial 16S ribosomal RNA". It matches the Rfam family "Bacterial small subunit ribosomal RNA", at positions 524 to 776 of the family's 1533-position model. The record is from RNAcentral.